AUUGAACGCUAGCGGGAUGCUUUACACAUGCAAGUCGAACGGCAGCGCGGACUUCGGUCUGGCGGCGAGUGGCGAACGGGUGAGUAAUGUAUCGGAACGUGCCCAGUAGCGGGGGAUAACUACGCGAAAGCGUAGCUAAUACCGCAUACGCCCUACGGGGGAAAGCAGGGGAUCGUAAGACCUUGCACUAUUGGAGCGGCCUAUAUCGGAUUAGCUAGUUGGUGAGGUAACGGCCCACCAAGGCGACGAUCCGUAGCUGGUUUGAGAGGACGACCAGCCACACUGGGACUGAGACACGGCCCAGACUCCUACGGGAGGCAGCAGUGGGGAAUUUUGGACAAUGGGGGAAAGCCUGAUCCAGCCAUCCCGCGUGUGUGAUGAAGGCCUUCGGGUUGUAAAGCACUUUUGGCAGGAAAGAAACGUCGCGGGCUAAUACCCCGUGGAAUUGACGGUACCUGCAGAAUAAGCACCGGCUAACUACGUG
Molecule: ribosomal RNA, 484 nt
Filed under: uncultured bacterium
Lineage: Bacteria
Description: partial 16S ribosomal RNA
Rfam family: Bacterial small subunit ribosomal RNA
Source: RNAcentral